UACGAAGGGUGCAAGCGUUAGUCGGAAUUACUGGGCGUAAAGCGUGCGUAGGCGGUUUGUCGCGUCGAAUGUGAAAACCCGGGGCUCAACCCCGGGCCUGCAGUGGGUACGGGCAAACUAGAGUGCGGUAGGGGAGAUUGGAAUUCCUGGUGUAGCGGUGGAAUGCGCAGAUAUCAGGAGGAACACCGAUGGCGAAGGCAGAUCUCUGGGCCGUAACUGACGCUGAGGAGCGAAAGCAUGGGGAGCGAACAGG
This 253-nucleotide ribosomal RNA is filed under the name uncultured bacterium. RNAcentral describes it as "partial 16S ribosomal RNA". It matches the Rfam family "Bacterial small subunit ribosomal RNA", at positions 524 to 776 of the family's 1533-position model. The record is from RNAcentral.